RNAcentral lists this long non-coding RNA (855 nucleotides) under Homo sapiens (human). RNAcentral describes it as "non-protein coding lnc-COL6A2-4:3". Lineage: Eukaryota; Metazoa; Chordata; Mammalia; Primates; Hominidae. The record is from RNAcentral.
ACACCUCCAGCCCUGUGACGGGCACUCAGGACCACCAAGGGCACUCAGGUGCAGAUGCCCCUGGGAGAACACCACCUUCAUUCAGCCCGGGCGGCCAGAUUAGGGGAAGGUUGCUUCUAGGAGAGAAAGUCUUGAGUCAGGCUUUGUGGAGAAAGGAGGUUUCUACACCCCAAGCGUUCCUGACACAACCCAACCAGCCUGGUGUUGCACCACAGGGCUCACACCUCAGAUCAAGACAACGGGGGCCCAGCCACAGCCCACUGACGAGGGCAUGCAGGGCGUCCAGGAUGCAGGGCAGAGAGAGAAGCGAGGGAUGAGUCACGGAUGCGCCCCCCGCUCUGAGCCCGACGGGGCCCUGAAUGGCUUUUCCUGCCCUGGCUCCUCCCAUCAUAUUUUAAAUGCCGUCUUCCUCCCGCUCCAAGGAAACCUUCUCUUGACGUCAGAUCUCAUGUCUGUCAGUUACAAAGUACGGAAAGCACCCGUUAAAAUUCUGUUUUUAUCUCAUUCUCUUCAAUUCUGCCAUUUUGCUUCAUGUAUUUUGAAGCUGUUAUUUAGUGCAUAUACAUUUGGGGUUGUUAUGUCUUGAUAAAUCGAUCUUAUCAUUAUUGUCUCUUUACUCAUUUCUGGUACCGUUCCUUGUCCUACCGUCUAUGUUGAUAUUAAAAAUAUCAAGAGUCUGAAACUUUACAUCAUAGUGAACAAAGAAAACCUAAUAUGAUGCCAGGGAAAAGAUUUCAGGAUGUUCAAAAUCUGUUCCUGAUAAAAAUAAUCUGAAUUCAAAAAUCUUUCAUGACUGAUUUUUAAUCACACUGAGGCAAAUAUCCCCCUCAGACAGAGGCUGCACCGGUACAGCUG